This is a long non-coding RNA of Toxorhynchites rutilus septentrionalis, 695 nucleotides long. RefSeq lists it as uncharacterized. The transcript is spliced from 4 exons. NCBI's taxonomy places the organism in Eukaryota, Metazoa, Arthropoda, Insecta, Diptera, Culicidae. The record is from RefSeq and is a predicted model, not a curated record.
CGGUGUCCGUGGUGAAAACCAGAUCCAAAUAUUUAUUGUUUUGAUUCGGUGUAUCACACACUUGCAUCAAUCCAGACGACGAAAAACCAUCAACAAUGACUACUUCACUCUGCGAAACGAUUCGCUCAGGUUGAAAUCACCUGACACGAGCACCAUGUCACCCGGCUGAACUAUGUCGAUGACGGAGUCAACAAACGCGACGAACGAGUGGUAGCGAGCUAAAUUCGAGAUAGGUGGAAUAUAUCCACAGCACAAAAAUAAGUGUCCAUUCAUUGUUUUCAUCUUAACACAGAUCGCUUCAUUGUUUUCAGCUCGAGCAAACUCUGUGCUGACGAUACGACGAUGAACCGCAAUAAGCGCCCCGCCGCCGGACAGUUUAUCGCUGUUAAGUGUGUCUCUGUCGCAGCGGUAGACCGAAAAACACGAAGGGAACAGUACACUAUUUUGUAUAGAGGAUUCCAAGGUUUCCCACGUUUAACGGAUUAACAGAAUGAGACUCGAUUCCAUCGCUAAUAGCGGAUAGGAUUCUUCACACAAAAUGUCACUGCUGCAUCGCAACCGUUGGCUGGAAGGGAGCAGCGAGCGGAGUGGAGAAACAGUCCCGCUGCUGAGAGGGACUAUCACGCUGUCGCUCGUCACGAAAAAUUGUAUUGCCCCGUUCGACACCCACAAACUCACGGAAAUAAAUUCCCUUU